GGUUAAGUUAGAAAGGGCGCACGGUGGAUGCCUUGGCACUAGGAGCCGAUGAAGGACGGGACGAACACCGAUAUGCUUCGGGGAGCUGUAAGCAAGCUUUGAUCCGGAGAUUUCCGAAUGGGGAAACCCACCACUCGUAAUGGAGUGGUAUCCAUAUCUGAAUACAUAGGAUAUGAGAAGGCAGACCCGGGGAACUGAAACAUCUAAGUACCCGGAGGAAGAGAAAGCAAAUGCGAUUCCCUGAGUAGCGGCGAGCGAAACGGGACCAGCCCAAACCAAGAGGCUUGCCUCUUGGGGUUGUAGGACACUCUGUACGGAGUUACAAAGGAACGAGGUAGAUGAAGAGGUCUGGAAAGGCCCGCCAUAGGAGGUAACAGCCCUGUAGUCAAAACUUCGUUCUCUCCUGAGUGGAUCCUGAGUACGGCGGAACACGUGAAAUUCCGUCGGAAUCCGGGAGGACCAUCUCCCAAGGCUAAAUACUCCCUAGUGACCGAUAGUGAACCAGUACCGUGAGGGAAAGGUGAAAAGCACCCCGGAAGGGGAGUGAAAGAGAUCCUGAAACCGUGUGCCUACAAGUAGUCAGAGCCCGUUAACGGGUGAUGGCGUGCCUUUUGUAGAAUGAACCGGCGAGUUACGAUCCCGUGCAAGGUUAAGCAGAAGAUGCGGAGCCGCAGCGAAAGCGAGUCUGAAUAGGGCGAAUUGAGUACGUGGUCGUAGACCCGAAACCAGGUGAUCUACCCAUGUCCAGGGUGAAGUUCAGGUAACACUGAAUGGAGGCCCGAACCCACGCACGUUGAAAAGUGCGGGGAUGAGGUGUGGGUAGGGGUGAAAUGCCAAUCGAACCUGGAGAUAGCUGGUUCUCUCCGAAAUAGCUUUAGGGCUAGCCUCAAGGUAAGAGUCUCGGAGGUAGAGCACUGAUUGGACUAGGGGCCCCUACCGGGUUACCGAAUUCAGUCAAACUCCGAAUGCCGAUGACUUAUCCUUGGGAGUCAGACUGCGAGUGAUAAGAUCCGUAGUCGAAAGGGAAACAGCCCAGACCGCCAGCUAAGGUCCCAAAGUAUACGUUAAGUGGAAAAGGAUGUGGAGUUGCUUAGACAACCAGGAUGUUGGCUUAGAAGCAGCCACCAUUUAAAGAGUGCGUAAUAGCUCACUGGUCGAGUGACUCUGCGCCGAAAAUGUACCGGGGCUAAACGUAUCACCGAAGCUGCGGACUGUUCUUCGAACAGUGGUAGGAGAGCGUUCUAAGGGCUGUGAAGCAAGACCGGAAGGACUUGUGGAGCGCUUAGAAGUGAGAAUGCCGGUAUGAGUAGCGAAAGAGGGGUGAGAAUCCCCUCCACCGAAUGCCUAAGGUUUCCUGAGGAAGGCUCGUCCGCUCAGGGUUAGUCGGGACCUAAGCCGAGGCCGAAAGGCGUAGGCGAUGGAUAACAGGUUGAUAUUCCUGUACCACCUCCUCACCAUUUGAGCAAUGGGGGGACGCAGGAGGAUAGGGUAAGCGCGGUAUUGGAUAUCCGCGUCCAAGCAGUUAGGCUGGGAAAUAGGCAAAUCCGUUUCCCGUGAAGGCUGAGCUGUGAUGGCGAGCGAAUUAUAGUAGCGAAGUUCCUGAUUCCACACUGCCAAGAAAAGCCUCUAGCGAGGUGAGAGGUGCCCGUACCGCAAACCGACACAGGUAGGCGAGGAGAGAAUCCUAAGGUGAUCGAGAGAACUCUCGUUAAGGAACUCGGCAAAAUGACCCCGUAACUUCGGGAGAAGGGGUGCUCUGUUAGGGUGCAAGCCCGAGAGAGCCGCAGUGAAUAGGCCCAGGCGACUGUUUAGCAAAAACACAGGUCUCUGCGAAGCCGUAAGGCGAAGUAUAGGGGCUGACGCCUGCCCGGUGCUGGAAGGUUAAGAGGAGCGCUUAGCGUAAGCGAAGGUGCGAAUUGAAGCCCCAGUAAACGGCGGCCGUAACUAUAACGGUCCUAAGGUAGCGAAAUUCCUUGUCGGGUAAGUUCCGACCCGCACGAAAGGCGCAACGAUCUGGGCACUGUCUCAACGAGAGACUCGGUGAAAUUAUAGUACCUGUGAAGAUGCAGGUUACCCGCGACAGGACGGAAAGACCCCGUGGAGCUUUACUGCAGCCUGAUAUUGAAUGUUGGUACAGCUUGUACAGGAUAGGUAGGAGCCUUGGAAAUCGGAGCGCCAGCUUCGGUGGAGGCAUCGGUGGGAUACUACCCUGGCUGUAUUGACCUUCUAACCCGCCGCCCUUAUCGGGCGGGGAGACAGUGUCAGGUGGGCAGUUUGACUGGGGCGGUCGCCUCCUAAAAGGUAACGGAGGCGCCCAAAGGUUCCCUCAGAAUGGUUGGAAAUCAUUCGCAGAGUGUAAAGGCACAAGGGAGCUUGACUGCGAGACCUACAAGUCGAGCAGGGACGAAAGUCGGGCUUAGUGAUCCGGUGGUUCCGCAUGGAAGGGCCAUCGCUCAACGGAUAAAAGCUACCCCGGGGAUAACAGGCUUAUCUCCCCCAAGAGUCCACAUCGACGGGGAGGUUUGGCACCUCGAUGUCGGCUCAUCGCAUCCUGGGGCUGUAGUCGGUCCCAAGGGUUGGGCUGUUCGCCCAUUAAAGCGGUACGCGAGCUGGGUUCAGAACGUCGUGAGACAGUUCGGUCCCUAUCCGUCGCGGGCGCAGGAAAUUUGAGAGGAGCUGUCCUUAGUACGAGAGGACCGGGAUGGACGCACCGCUGGUGUACCAGUUGUUCUGCCAAGGGCAUCGCUGGGUAGCUAUGUGCGGACGGGAUAAGUGCUGAAAGCAUCUAAGCAUGAAGCCCCCCUCAAGAUGAGAUUUCCCAUUCCGCAAGGAAGUAAGAUCCCUGAAAGAUGAUCAGGUUGAUAGGUCUGAGGUGGAAGUGUGGCGACACAUGGAGCUGACAGAUACUAAUCGAUCGAGGACUUAACCAA
This 2930-nucleotide ribosomal RNA is filed under the name Bacillus velezensis. Its description in RNAcentral is "23S ribosomal RNA". It matches the Rfam family "Bacterial large subunit ribosomal RNA". Lineage: Bacteria; Bacillati; Bacillota; Bacilli; Caryophanales; Bacillaceae. RNAcentral also lists the same sequence under 1 other name. The record is from RNAcentral.